Molecule: ribosomal RNA, 467 nt
Filed under: uncultured bacterium
Lineage: Bacteria
Description: partial 16S ribosomal RNA
Rfam family: Bacterial small subunit ribosomal RNA
Source: RNAcentral
ACGAACGCUGGCGGCGUGCUUCACCCAUGCAAGUCGAACGGAAAGGCCCUGCUUUUGUGGGGUGCUCGAGUGGCGAACGGGUGAGUAACACGUGAGUAACCUGCCCUUGACUUUGGGAUAACUUCAGGAAACUGGGGCUAAUACCGGAUAGGAGCUCCUGCUGCAUGGUGGGGGUUGGAAAGUUUCGGCGGUUGGGGAUGGACUCGCGGCUUAUCAGCUUGUUGGUGGGGUAGUGGCUUACCAAGGCUUUGACGGGUAGCCGGCCUGAGAGGGUGACCGGCCACAUUGGGACUGAGAUACGGCCCAGACUCCUACGGGAGGCAGCAGUGGGGAAUAUUGCACAAUGGGCGGAAGCCUGAUGCAGCAACGCCGCGUGCGGGAUGACGGCCUUCGGGUUGUAAACCGCUUUCGCCUGCGACGAAGCGUGAGUGACGGUAAUGGGUAAAGAAGCACCGGCUAACUACGUG